UCCGGUUCGGGGAGGUGGCGGGACCUUGGCGGCGCCCGGAGCCGGCGUGGCGCUCAUCGAGGGAUGCCCGGCCCAAGUGGCUGGGGCCAAGCCGCAGAGCGGAGUUGGCAUUUCCAGAUUGGGGCUCGGGCUGCGCCUCCUCCGGGACCCUCCCCUUGGACCGAGCCGAUCGCCGCGGGGCAGUUCGGGCCGGCUGUCCUGGCGCGGUGAAGGUGAUAAAGUAAAGUGCUUUCACUGUGGAGGAGGGCUAACUGAUUGGAAGCCCACUGAAGACCCUUGGGAACAACAUGCUAAAUGGUAUCCAGGGUGUAAAUAUCUGUUAGAACAGAAGGGACAAGAAUAUAUAAACAAUAUUCAUUUAACUCAUUCACUUGAGGAGUAAGAACUACUGAGAAAACACCAUCACUAACUAGAAGAAUUGAUGACACCAUCUUCCAAAAUCCUAUGGUACAAGAAGCUAUACGAAUGGGUUUCAGUUUCAAGGACAUUAAGAAA
RNAcentral lists this small RNA (495 nucleotides) under Pongo abelii (Sumatran orangutan). Its description in RNAcentral is "processed transcript". Lineage: Eukaryota; Metazoa; Chordata; Mammalia; Primates; Hominidae. The record is from RNAcentral.